Molecule: unclassified non-coding RNA, 233 nt
Filed under: plant metagenome
Description: partial contains small subunit ribosomal RNA, internal transcribed spacer 1, and 5.8S ribosomal RNA
Source: RNAcentral
UUUCCGUAGGUGAACCUGCGGAAGGAUCAUUAAAGUUAUAGUCCCCCGGCCCUCUGGGCUGGGGUCUUCUAUACCACCCUUUGUUUAUUACACCUUUGUUGCUUUGGCAGGCCUGCCCUCGGGCUGCUGGCUCCGGCCGCUCGUGUCUGCCAGAGGACCUAAACUCUGUUUGUAUAUGAAGUCUGAGUACUAUAUAAUAGUUAAAACUUUCAACAACGGAUCUCUUGGUUCUG